GACGAACGCUGGCGGCGUGCCUAAUACAUGCAAGUCGAGCGGACCGAACAGGAGCUUGCUCUUGUUCGGUUAGCGGCGGACGGGUGAGUAACACGUGGGUAACCUGCCCGUAAGACCGGGAUAACUCCGGGAAACCGGAGUUAAUACCGGAUAACACCGAAGACCGCAUGGUCUUUGGUUGAAAGGCGGCUUCGGCUGCCACUUACGGAUGGGCCCGCGGCGCAUUAGCUAGUUGGUGAGGUAACGGCUCACCAAGGCGACGAUGCGUAGCCGGCCUGAGAGGGUGACCGGCCACACUGGGACUGAGACACGGCCCAGACUCCUACGGGAGGCAGCAGUAGGGAAUCUUCCGCAAUGGACGAAAGUCUGACGGAGCGACGCCGCGUGAGCGAAGAAGGUCUUCGGAUCGUAAAGCUCUGUUGUUAGGGAAGAAGAAGCGUCGUUCGAACAGGGCGGCGCGGUGACGGUACCUAACGAGAAAGCCCCGGCUAACUACGUG
This 499-nucleotide ribosomal RNA is filed under the name uncultured bacterium. RNAcentral's name for it is "partial 16S ribosomal RNA". It matches the Rfam family "Bacterial small subunit ribosomal RNA", at positions 28 to 507 of the family's 1533-position model. The record is from RNAcentral.